GCGGGAUUAGUUUAGUGGCAGAAUGACACACUUCCAAUGUGUAGACGGGAGUUCGAUUCUCCCAUCCCGCACCA
This 74-nucleotide transfer RNA is filed under the name Candidatus Taylorbacteria bacterium RIFCSPHIGHO2_02_FULL_44_12. RNAcentral describes it as "tRNA-Gly". It matches the Rfam family "tRNA". Rfam says of the family: Transfer RNA (tRNA) molecules are approximately 80 nucleotides in length. The record is from RNAcentral. RNAcentral also lists the same sequence under 1 other name. Lineage: Bacteria; Candidatus Tayloriibacteriota.